This 253-nucleotide ribosomal RNA is filed under the name uncultured bacterium. Its description in RNAcentral is "partial 16S ribosomal RNA". It matches the Rfam family "Bacterial small subunit ribosomal RNA", at positions 524 to 776 of the family's 1533-position model. The record is from RNAcentral.
GACGUAGGGCGCAAGCGUUGUCCGGAUUUAUUGGGCGUAAAGAGCUCGUAGGCGGCUCGUUGCGUCGGCUGUGAAAACCCACGGCUUAACCGUGGGCCUGCAGCCGAUACGGGCGAGCUAGAGUUCGGUAGGGGAGACUGGAAUUCCUGGUGUAGCGGUGAAAUGCGCAGAUAUCAGGAGGAACACCGGUGGCGAAGGCGGGUCUCUGGGCCGAAACUGACGCUGAGGAGCGAAAGCGUGGGGAGCGAACAGG